UUUGGGAUAACUUCAGGAAACUGGGGCUAAUACCGGAUAGGAGCUCCUGCUGCAUGGUGGGGGUUGGAAAGUUUCGGCGGUUGGGGAUGGACUCGCGGCUUAUCAGCUUGUUGGUGGGUAGUGGCUUACCAAGGCUUUGACGGGUAGCCGGCCUGAGAGGGUGACCGGCCACAUUGGGACUGAGAUACGGCCCAG
RNAcentral lists this ribosomal RNA (195 nucleotides) under uncultured Actinomycetales bacterium. Its description in RNAcentral is "partial 16S ribosomal RNA". It matches the Rfam family "Bacterial small subunit ribosomal RNA", at positions 137 to 334 of the family's 1533-position model. The record is from RNAcentral. Lineage: Bacteria; Bacillati; Actinomycetota; Actinomycetes; Actinomycetales.